GUCCUAGUAGUAUAACCUAAUACUUUGGCCUUGUAAACCAAAAAUGAGGGCUUCCCCCUCCUAAGACA
Molecule: transfer RNA, 68 nt
Filed under: Galago senegalensis (Senegal galago)
Lineage: Eukaryota; Metazoa; Chordata; Mammalia; Primates; Galagidae
Description: tRNA-Thr
Rfam family: tRNA
About the family: Transfer RNA (tRNA) molecules are approximately 80 nucleotides in length.
Source: RNAcentral